Long non-coding RNA from Anguilla rostrata (American eel), 713 nucleotides. RefSeq lists it as uncharacterized. NCBI's taxonomy places the organism in Eukaryota, Metazoa, Chordata, Actinopteri, Anguilliformes, Anguillidae. The record is from RefSeq and is a predicted model, not a curated record. The transcript has 2 exons.
GUGAAACUAGAAUCAAAAGCUCAUAAAUAACAGGGUUUUCAACCAGCACAUAAAAGGACGUUGUGAAUAAAAAUACAACAAACUGAUCCAACACAAUACAAGAUGACUCUGGAAUGUACACUUCUUAAACUUACAGUUGGGAAAACGGCAGUGGUAUUUUUGUCAACUUGUAUUUCUACAGCCAUCAUCACCUUCACAUCAGGUGUGACAGCCAUCGUGGGAAUGUAUCUGUACAAGAAGGGUAAGUUUCUCUAUUUCUGAGUAUGAAACAUGAAUACACACCAUCGCUGUUCACUUUAGAAAAAUUACAAUAGGCAAAACAUGUGAGUGUUUUCGCUUUUCAGAUAAGCCUGUACUAUAACCAGUCUCUACAGAAAUACUGUAAUAUUUUCAUUUUCAAAUGAAAUUGUCCCAAAAAGCACAGGAAUCAGUCAUGAAUACAUUCCCUAAAUUUUACAUCCCUGUUACCCUGACUGUUGUCUGUUUACCUGUACUUGUAGGUGGCCACCAUGAGGCACAAAGAUAAAUAAAUACAAGGCGGCGCCUCUGGAAGACAUCAUGAAGGCGGCUGUGACCUGAUCUUGUGAUCUUGUUCUCUCUCUGCCUCUGGCUGGAGCCCCCGCAACUGACGGUUGACUGCAAUGCUUGUCGUUCAUAAUGAAUUCUAGAUUGGUUUGGGUUCAUUUAUGGCAAAUAAAUAUCAUUAUACUUUA